CGAUGUCGGCUCAUCACAUCCUGGGGCUGUAGUAGGUCCCAAGGGUUGGGCUGUUCGCCCAUUAAAGUGGUACGCGAGCUGGGUUCAGAACGUCGUGAGACAGUUCGGUCCCUAUCCGUCGCAGGCGUAGGAAAUUUGAGAAGACCUGUCCUUAGUACGAGAGGACCGGGAUGGACGUACCUCUGGUGUACCAGUUGUUCUGCCAAGGGCAUGGCUGGGUAGCUAUGUACGGAAUGGAUAAGCGCUGAAAGCAUCUAAGCGCGAAGCCAACUUCAAGAUAAGAUUUCCCACCGCAAGGGUAAGACCCCAGAAAGACUAUCUGGUUGAUAGGUCGAAGGUGUAAGUGCAGCAAUGUAUUUAGCUUAUCGAUACUAAUAGGUCGAGGACUUGACCAAAUU
Molecule: ribosomal RNA, 398 nt
Filed under: Clostridioides difficile
Lineage: Bacteria; Bacillati; Bacillota; Clostridia; Peptostreptococcales; Peptostreptococcaceae
Description: partial 23S ribosomal RNA
Rfam family: Bacterial large subunit ribosomal RNA
Source: RNAcentral